CCUCUAUACACCUAGAAGAAAGUUUAGAGUCUUUUAACAAAAAAAACAUUAAGAGUGGAGAAAAAAAAACUUUAAACCUAAUAAUCCCCUAAACCCAGAUCUUCCUCUUGUCUUCGCCGAUGCCGAUGGCCAAGCUCCUCUUCUCCAGUUCUCCUCAUCGUCUUGUCGAAGCUAAUCUUCCUCAAGUUUUGUUCUGUUUUCUACACGCUUCAUGACCAUGGAAAUUUGCAAAACGAAAUCGAGACCUCUACGGCGAUACCGUCUUUCAGCAUGUCGAUAUUGCUUCUUUAGAUAAUUUAAACAGUCAGGAGAUCUGCACAAUCAGCAACUCGCCGCCGGUUAUGCAACUCCUGACACCCUAGAUCUACACAUCUCUUCUUGUCUUCGUUUCCAAAUCCUUCUUCUCCGUCAUCUCCGUAUUAGUUAGGGUUUGUGUUGACCGGAUAUCUCUCUUAUUCUGCAUCGUGAUCGUGAUUGCACUUGAGAUUCAUAAUUGGUUUUUGUUUAAUUUUCCUCUUUGAUUGCGAGUUUUGGAUUUUGAAGGCAUGUGUAAGUUAUUCAACAUUUUGCCAUUCUCUAGCUUAUAUCUUUUGACUUUGAAGUAAAAUGGAUAAAUACAAGAGCUUCAAUAAACCGUAGCUUGAGUCUCCGAUUAACGAGAAUGAGAUCUGUAUCACCAGUCAAGGCCUUAUCCUAAUUUAUGUUGUUUAGUUGCAGGUUGAGUAAGAAUGGGUCUACUAAAACUGGAGGACUUCAAGACUUUGCUUAAUCAGGCUCCAAAGAGUUGGAUAGACAACUGUUUGCGUUAAACUAGCUUGCUACCUAAAGAAGCAGCAAGUAUGCUUUUUCAAAAUACAGGACAUGCUCGGAAAUGAGUUUUAUGCUGGUGCUUACAAGGUAUAUUCACUUGGCUUUUAAUGUUUUGGUACUCUAAAGGGUUGAAUCUUUAUUUGUCAAGAACUGUUGUUUAUUUCUGUUAAGGACGAUUCAACAUGUAUUUAGCCAUUUGAUCAUUAGAGUUCGAUCAGUGAGUAGAUCAAGGAAUAGCACCAAGCUUGAGUCUUUACCAAAGACUUCUAGAUUUGGCAUACAAAGUUAGCUCUUCGGUUUGAGAACUUAUCUAUAGUUUUUGGUUUUCGUUCUCUUUUUGGUUCCUAUCAACUGAGUUGGUGUAAAUUUGCAGCUUGAUCUAGUAGAUAUCUUCCAAAAUAUCGGGUCAUACUUUCUUAAUUUGCAGCAAGAACAAGUCUUCAGCAGUGAAGCACCAUUUGGAGUUUCACAGGGAGAAAGGACCAGAACGGUUGUGUACUGUUGGAAAGCAAAGUGGUUGUGGGAUUGUGCGCGAAGAAGUAGAGAUCAGCGGGUGACCUAUUAAGCAAGAAGAGGAGCAUUUAGAUUUAGAUUAGAAUAGAGUAGGGUAGUUGAUGUUUUUGUAUAAGAUUUGGUGUGGAUUAAUGUUUGCAAGACUUGAUAUGUUUUUAUGGAGUUUCUAUUGAAAAUUUAUAUUUAAAUUUA
This is a non-coding RNA of Camelina sativa (false flax), 1515 nucleotides long. Lineage: Eukaryota; Viridiplantae; Streptophyta; Magnoliopsida; Brassicales; Brassicaceae. The record is from RefSeq and is a predicted model, not a curated record.